UACGAAGGGGGCUAGCGUUGCUCGGAAUUACUGGGCGUAAAGGGCGCGUAGGCGGACAUUUAAGUCGGGGGUGAAAGCCUGUGGCUCAACCACAGAAUUGCCUUCGAUACUGUAGAGCUUGAGACCGGAAGAGGUAAGUGGAACUGCGAGUGUAGAGGUGAAAUUCGUAGAUAUUCGCAAGAACACCAGUGGCGAAGGCGGCUUACUGGUCCGGUUCUGACGCUGAGGCGCGAAAGCGUGGGGAGCAAACAGG
This 253-nucleotide ribosomal RNA is filed under the name uncultured bacterium. RNAcentral describes it as "partial 16S ribosomal RNA". It matches the Rfam family "Bacterial small subunit ribosomal RNA", at positions 524 to 776 of the family's 1533-position model. The record is from RNAcentral.